UAGAGAUUUGUCGAAACCUGAAAAGAAGGAACAGAACAAAAACAAACAUCUCGGGGGUUAGUUAAAAUUUUCCUCUCUUUUUCUUGUUCUCGCUCACCAUCUUCCUUUUCUCUCAUUUCUUUUUCAACAUCUUUUUCCUUUUCAAUUUUUUUCUCAAUAUCAAUAUCAAUCUCAAUCUCAAAUUCUUUUUUCUUUUUCUUUUUCUCACUCUCAUUUUCUUUUUCUUUUAUUUCUUUUUCUUUUUCUCUCAUUUCUUUUUUUCUUCUCUCAAUUUCAUUCAAGAUUCGUUCAUUUUCUU
Molecule: long non-coding RNA, 298 nt
Filed under: Gossypium raimondii (Peruvian cotton)
Lineage: Eukaryota; Viridiplantae; Streptophyta; Magnoliopsida; Malvales; Malvaceae
Description: long non-coding RNA (GRAI_LNC000546)
Source: RNAcentral